GGGGAAUAUUGCACAAUGGGCGCAAGCCUGAUGCAGCGACGCCGCGUGAGGGAUGAAGGCCUUCGGGUUGUAAACCUCUUUCGUCAGGGAACAAGGCAUUGCCUUUUUUGGUGGUGUUGAGGGUACCUGGAUAAGAAGCGCCGGCUAACUACGUGCCAGCAGCCGCGGUAAUACGUAGGGCGCAAGCGUUGUCCGGAAUUAUUGGGCGUAAAGAGCUCGUAGGCGGCAGGUCGCGUCUGUCGUGAAAACUUCCGGCUCAACCGGGGGCUUGCGGUGGGUACGGGCCGGCUAGAGUGCGGUAGGGGUAACUGGAACUCCUGGUGUAGCGGUGGAAUGCGCAGAUAUCAGGAAGAACACCGAUGGCGAAGGCAGGUUACUGGGCCGUUACUGACGCUGAGGAGCGAAAGCGUGGGGAGCGAACAGGAUUAGAUACCCUGGUAGUCCACGCUGUAAACGUUGGGCACUAGGUGUGAGGCUCCUUUCCGGGGGUUUUGCGCCGUAGCUAACGCAUUAAGUGCCCCGCCUGGGGAGUACGGCCGCAAGGCUA
RNAcentral lists this ribosomal RNA (547 nucleotides) under uncultured bacterium. Its description in RNAcentral is "bacterial SSU rRNA". It matches the Rfam family "Bacterial small subunit ribosomal RNA", at positions 356 to 896 of the family's 1533-position model. The record is from RNAcentral.